CCUGUUGGGCAAACGGUUUUUCUGCCAAAUUUCGCUUUUGGUCAAAUGAAAUUAACGAUUUUCGAAUCAAUAACCGUUUCGCUCAAAUAUUAAUUUCUGCUAAAUGGAAUUCGAUUAGAUGACUUUCAGCGUAAUACCGAAGAAAUCUUGAGAAACUCCCUUAAUUUUCCAAAAAAAAUAUAAAAGAAUUCCGUGGGACUUCCAAACACGCGUUUCCCGCGGAUAUUUCGAAGAAGCUUCCAUACAAAAGUUGUUACGAAAGGAGCGUGGAGGUCUGAAAUCGGCAAAAUUAGCAUUACAUAAUUUGAGAACGUACGUAUGUACGUCUCCGGCUCAGAUAACGUUUUUCCAAAAUAUUCAAAUGGAAUUUAUUUUCUAAUUUUCCACGGGAACUAGUUUAAAGUUUCAACUUUUUUGUAUGAAAGCGUUAUGUAAUUUGUGAACAGCCCCUUAGAUUGUUACGACGAUAUUCAAAAGAUUCUCCCGUAGAUAUCUUGAAAAUGUCUCAGAAAAAUAAAAAAAAAAUCAAAUGCAAAAAAACGCCACGCCGAUCCACGCCGCCGCCGCCACCGCCUAAAUUGGCUAUCGGCGAGAUGCCGUAAACGCCGAUCAAAAUUAUGACAAACGCCGCCGCCGACGAUUUUCGGACCGGCGUACACCUCUAAGCACAGCUCACCAAUUAAAUAAUAUUUUUGGGAUACAAAAAAGUUGUUCUUAUUGAAUACUUGCUGCGUAGUUUCCAAUUCAUGACCAAUAACGAUGCUGGUCACGUCCUUACAGUCAAUUUAGGAUUAGGAGAGGAAAAUUAGUUCAACACUCAUUGUUAUAUAAGACCGAGGAAUGCUUUGCAUUUCCGUGAGCAUAACGGGAAAGGAAUCGUUGGUUAGUAGAGAAGGUAAUUCAUGUGAAGCCCCUUGGUAGCCGACUUAGUAUACUUAGUAUAAUAGCCCUGUUUGUCUGUCCGGAGACUAGCCAACCAGAUGCAGCACGCGGGGAAAUUCUCACAAAAAAAUAAAAUAUUUGACACUUCAAUUCUUUUUUACUAUCAGAUGCAGAAAACAAAACCAGUGACAACCUUAGACAACCAGACACAGCAUUUUAGGGAAAAAAUCACAGACAACAGACGUUAAAAAUUCUGAUUUUUGGAGAAAAAAAAUGCACGGGCAUUUGCACUUGCACGGGCGUUACUGCGCCCACAAAUUAACUAGUUUAUUAUAAACGAAGUUAUUUUGAAAACAAGAAGACGAGAACUGUGUUUUAAGUCAAUCCAACGCAAGAUCAAUGUACUUCGUUUAAUUAGCUUCUACAAUACGAUCGAUUCCGCACUAAAUAUUUUUGUUUUAUCACUUCGCGUUCUCCUACGCUGUCUGGCGUGAUCAGCAUCUACAAGAUCGAUUGUACACUGGUGAAACAAAUUUCUGAUACGCUAGGUAGAUUUUUUUUUACUUCGCGUUCUCCCGGACUAGCUGCCGUCCUAUGACCAGCAGCAUCACGAUCGAUUCCGCAUUCAUCUUGUACAAAUAGUAAAAAAUAUCACAAAAUAUAAAUUUGAAUCUUGGAAACUUGGAAACCUAAAGUUUUGAAAACAACUUAACGAUUUUGUUCAGCGGCGCAGCCAAAAUUUUUGAUAAUAUAAAGAAUGGUUUAAGUUUAAAUUGGAUUCGAAAUUCCGCGGAAUUCCGUAAAAUUUCGUUAGCAGCUAGUUUUUUCUAGCGAAAUUUUUGAAAUUUUACGAAACGAAACGAAAUCAAGACAUGAGAUUUUGCCAUGCUCAAAUUCCGCGAAAUUCCGCGGAAUUUCGUUUCGAACCACCUGAAACGAAAUUUUUCGAAAUACCGCAUAUGCUUACCCACUAGAGUGGGACGGCAUGAUCAUUUUUUUCAAAUCAAUGGUUUUUCGAAGCCAUUCUUGGCCCUAAACAACUGUGCAGAAUUUGAGGCCGAUUGGUUACUUCCUCGCUUUCCGCAUAUCAUUUGAAGUUUGUAUGAAAAUUAGUAUGGGAGAAUGUAUAUUUUUGCAUUUUUACUUCUAGAGGUCUCAGUUCAUCGUAAACCAAUUGGCACAUUGCGUUAAAGUAGAACCCAAAGGAUGCCGAAAAACUUUGCCAAAGAAGGUUACGUUGCUGGAACGUCCACGACAGGGUUAUUAAUCGAUAAAUUAUCAUCGUUAAUUUAACGCCAACUUCGAUAACGAUAACACUUUUUCGAUAAUGCUUCGUUGACGAUAAAAUGAGCGUUGAAUUAACGUUAUCGAGUUUUCGUUGAUUUAUCGAUAAUUAUCGAGUUAACUGUAACAUGUACUACAGUUUGAAGUGCAAAUAUUCACAAGUUGGAUUUGCAAUAUCUAUUUUAAAAAUAUUGUAUCGCCUUACAAUAUUCGAGAACGCCUUUAAAUCCUGGAACUAAAUUGGGAUUCAAGGAGGUAUCCGAAUUGACCAACACAUUAUUUCGUUCAAUCAUUAAAGUUCUUACAGAGUCGCAGUUCUACAUAGUAGAGAAUCUGAGAGCAUUUUUAAUGUCUACCUAAUCUAGCAUUAUUAACUUCUGUUUUGAAGAUCCGGAGCACCCAGUUAUAUGAAUAUUUUAUGACUCACAGUUUAGACUAAACUCCUUAGUCUAACCAAAUCAUAGGAGACGAGUUUAGUCCACCAAUCUGUUGAGAGAAUGUUCACUCGGUACUGGUGCUGCCUGGAAUGCAGCACUACAGAUCGCUGCAUCAAAUAAAUUUCUAGUACUUGGAUCCCAAUAUAUUGCCGAUGACAUCUAUGCUGCAUAGUGAAAAAAAAAACGCUAACCACCAACGAGCACCUCACUUCUCAUCGUUUCGUAGAGCAGCAUGCAUUAAGCAAUAAUUUUAGAGUGCCCCGCUUCAAUCAAAAUUAACUCUGAUCAACCAGCUGCAAACAAUUUGUUCCAUUCUCGACUUCUGUCAAAAUUUUACACCAACUUUAUUCGCGUAAUCUAGUAUUAAUCAUUAUCGCAAAAUUAUCGAGUUAAUUUACGUUAAAUUAUCGAACUACGAUAAUAAUUCAGUUGAUUCAUCGUUAUCGUAACAACCGAUAACGUUGAUCACAAUCAACUUUAUCGGCGAUAACGAUAAAUUAACGAUUAACAACCCUGGUCCACGAAAGAAGUUAUAACGCUUCGAAGGGUGAGCGUUCAAACCAUAUGCGAAAAAUCGUUUAUUCUGCCAGCACAGCUGAGCUACGUGGACCGAUAAUUUAAGUGAGUGUUAUUUCAUAAUUAUUGAUCUUAUAGGGCUUUGGAGCUUUGGGAGUUAUUCGGAAUGAUUUCACAGAGUAAAAAUUUCGACAAGAAGGAAGAUGGGUUUUGCUCUCCGACAACCAUUGGUUGUCCGGUAGUGCUGGCAGAAACAUUGAUUUUUUGCAUCUUUUGAAGCGUAAUAACAAUUUUUGUUACUUUCUUUCAGUUACUUUCCAUUUGUUUUUCUCAUAAGAAUGAAAUAAGUGCAAUGUAAAGUAAAAAUUGGAAACCUUUUUCGCACUGUUAUUCUUAUUGGAAAUGGCAUCCCGCCAAUUGCAAUGGAAUAUUUUACCUACCAUGUGCUUCGCAAACACUAUGUAGGACCUUUGUGCACAUUUUUGUUUUGCUCCGUGACCGGCGCCACGUACACUACCAUGUACCUGCCUGGACGCACGCUUUUGGAAAUUUUUCCAGAUCGGACACAACACGAGGAUUGCUUCCAUAUGUCGGUACCCGACAACCAACUAUAAAGAAGCACAGCUUUGGUUGAAUACUUCAUCAGUUGAGAUUGAGACUUCGAUUGAGUAACUACAUACUGUAAAAAAAAUCACACUUUGCCCAUUAUGGAUUAUCGCAUGGAUGCAUCCGCAAAGGAAAGCGUUGCGAACUUGAAUAACGCCAAGGCAAAACCACUAGAAACGGUUAUCGACGGCUGCGCAUUUCGAGUGUACGGCCACUGGGUCAAGAAGGGCGAGGGCCAAAAUCGGGCCGCCCUCUUCGAGAACACCCCUCGAUGCGAGGUUUAUAAUCUUUAUAUCAACAGCCUUAACCGAUAGGCUUUAGACCGGCCGGCGAGACGCGGCGUUAGCACGAUGGACCGAAGGGUUCCCGACCGCGCAGUUCAUAGAGCAUUCUUCUUCAUGCCUCCUGCAGGUGGGCGUAUAGAAGGCUACCCAUCCAGCCUGUUCCUUAAAGCCGAGCGGAAGCUGUUGCGAGAGCCUGUGUGAAAGAUUUGCGUGAAUGGGACGCUACACAAUGUGCGGUCUGCCAUUAUUGUGUGGAACUAAAUGGAGUCGCUGAGAAGAGCAGAUUUAAGAAUUCUAUAAAGUGAUCACUCAGUCUUAAUAGGGCAAAAAUAUUUAGUUCUUUAGUCAAUAGAUUAAGUUUUUUCAAUUGCGUGUAUGAUUUUGAUUUCCAAUUUAUACAUUAAUAUUUAUUAUAUUUCAACGCAGAUUUUUUUUCGUAUUUGGUGAGCUAAACCAGAUCGAAAAAUUUAAGAUCUUAUUGGAUAUCAAUUUUCUAUAUUACUCUCAUUAACAUAUGUUUUCUCUUAACUCAUGUAGUCGUUUGGUUGCAUUCUAUAAACAGUAUAACUACCUACUGAUGAGACAAAUAUGUAAACAAUGUUAUCUAGAUAUUGAAAAUUCCUGAUUUUUUUGAUAUUAUUAAGCAAAAUCAAGUUUUCCUUUUCUCCAAAAUGGAAUUUAUUUUUAUACGGAUGUUACUAAUUGUGAUUUGUCUUUAAGAUCAAUCGCGCAGAUAUAUAUAUCAUCCAGGUAAGGUAGUGUAGUGAAAAGAAUAUGUAUGUUAACCUUCAAGUAGCACAUAUAUUUGGAAAAUGUGUGUGGUUGAAUUGUUAGCCAGAUAGAACCACAAAUUUUCACCUUUGCGUGAAUUGCCUAUAGCUUGAAAUAAAGAGAAAUGAUACAAUUCAA
This is a long non-coding RNA of Armigeres subalbatus, 4918 nucleotides long. RefSeq lists it as uncharacterized. NCBI's taxonomy places the organism in Eukaryota, Metazoa, Arthropoda, Insecta, Diptera, Culicidae. The transcript has 2 exons. The record is from RefSeq and is a predicted model, not a curated record.